Molecule: RNA transcript, 4212 nt
Organism: Cryptotermes secundus
Lineage: Eukaryota; Metazoa; Arthropoda; Insecta; Blattodea; Kalotermitidae
Exons: 6
Source: RefSeq, a predicted model, not a curated record
GAUACCAUGUGAUAAGUAGGCGGCUGAAGUGAGCAGGUUGAUACCUGCGAGUUUGUUCUUGUGAGAAAUAAUUUUAACAGGAAUUCAUAUUGUAUGGAACAUUAUUUCAGAAGUUUUCUGGGUGGAUGCUUCAUAUACCACCCUCAGAGACCGCUGUUCAUACGAGUGUCUUGGCGCAUGGCUAAUCAUGGUCAAACCAAUAGUCAGGUCACAUAGUAGUCAAGAGCAUGCUAUAGAGGAUUCAACUGGUGAUACUGGGCAUUCACCUUUGGAUGACUCAGGUAUCCAGACUGACACCUGGAACUCAGUUCAAGACAAUUUCAGAACUGACAGCAGUUUGUCAAAUGAUGAUUUGGAAGGGGCAGUUGGUUAUUCACCAAAUUCCAGGGCUGUGCCGGACUGGAGUAACAUACGCACACAACGAAGACAGAGUUACUGGGAAGGUUACAGUGGACCAGUGGAUGAAAAUAGGUUUCAUCCUCAGCGAAGACAUUCCUCUGGUGAACUCUCUGGGAGCCCAAGAUCAUAUGAAACUUACAUUGGGCACAGCCAUAGUAAUCAGUUUGGCCCAGGAGAAAGUCAAGCCGGUACUCAGUUUAUGCCACGAGAAAGAAGAGCCAAUAAUCAUUUUAGACCACAGGAAAGACGAGGCAGUAAUCAGUCUGGUUAUGGAAUGACUGAAACAUACAACACAUGGAGCCCUCCAGAAAUACUUACUCACAAUCAUAAUCAUUUUACAACUCAGUAUAUCUACCCUCCUGGAAUACCACGUGAAACUGUGAUUUUUGGUGCUCAACUGUAUACACAAUUUCUUUAUGAUGAAAUUCGGAGGCGUAAUCUUCAGGCACCAGAAUGCCUUGAUCCUAACCAUGCGAACCCUCCCCCACUCUGGAAUAAUGACAUAAUUCAUAUCGGUAACAGUCUUCGCCAAGUAGCAAAUGAAUUUGCUCAUUCAGUGCUUCGUCGCAGAGUUCAAGAAAGAGCCGAGUCUGUCUGCCUGGAAAGUCUCAACUUUAAUACCUUCUCUGAUCUCCUGUUUGGAUUGUUUCAGUAUGCUCAGGACAGGGUGAAAAGAAUUUCUUCUCCAGCUGAUGUAUCAUCUUCAUAAGAGGGAGCCAGUAUCAUAGAAUUGGAUAUAAUGGAUUGGAGAGUAUAAGGAAGGCGGGGUCACAUCAGAGAGAGUGGUUGUCCUGUUUUUCUUUUGUUCUGACCUUGCUAUCAGAGCUCUUUGCAACAGAAUGAGAGAAAGGUUUCAUUUCAUAACGUACUGGAGCCAGCGAUAUAUAAUGGAGAAUUUCAGUAUAUGGGUUCAGGAACAUGGAGGAUGGGCCGCAGUUCUUCAGCAGUCGGUGAAUCGUGUUUAUCAGUGUGCCAUGAUAAGCUUUUUCUGUGUUGGAAUAGUAGCAUUUUUCAUCUACAUACGUAAUAACACACGCUAGGAGCAGACUGCUUAGUUGUGAUGUGUUGCUUGUAUAUAUAGUAUGUAUCAUGAGUAAACUUUGGUAGAAUAAGUUUGGAGAAGUUUUUUCAUCAGUUUUUACUUCCACAUAUUGUGUUCAAACAUUUCUCAAUUUGUAUCUGUUUUAAAGAAGAGUAUCUUCUUUUGUAAGGUUUUUGGCAAAUUUGUGCCAGGUAUUUUUGUACGAGUGAAGCCUAGUGAGAAUUUUGUAUUCAGAUUUUUAUAUAGCAGUGUUUAUGAUGAUAGUAUAUUUUAUAGCAUGCGUCUGUAAUAACUUGUGGUGUGAACAAGGAUUUAAAUGCUUCUUUUUAUUAUAAUGGAUGUUCUGGCCACACAUUUUUGAGAUUCUUCAGAAAUAUAAUUUUCAGAUAGAAGUGGAAGGAUUCUGGGGAAAUCCAAGAUUUAUGUAUUGAAACCUGUUAGUAAGAAUUCAGUAUUUUUGUAGUGUAUCUAGUUAGUGUCAGUGUGUUUUUUUUUGUGCAUUGUUUUUGAAGAUGUACGAGCAAGCUAGUAACUCUAAUUUUGUUCCUUUAAAUAUAGUUUUUAAAAUUUAUAAUUGAGGUAAUUCAUGGAAAGUAAUUCAGGCAGGAAUGCAUGUUGCAAGACCCAUUAUAAUUCAACUUACUGACUGUUCUGGAACGAAAGGACUUUUGUGUAAACCCUGUGUGUAGUGAAUGCAUUAUGGGAAGAUGACAUCUGUCCAGUCUCCUACCUUCAAAACCUUUUAUAUGGAAAGUACAAAUCUAGUUUAAUGUUUCUCACAAGUAGCCUGUUAUACAAAAAACUGAUAAGUAACAUAAAUAAUAUUGUCAUUAAAGUUUGCAGUGGGUAUUUGAAACAUUUUUAUAUGGUGCAUAUUUAACUCUGUGCAACAGAGGUAUGUAGUUUGAAAUAAUCAGCUGUAAAUUAACAUCAAGGUCAGUGUAGCAUGCAGUAUCACAAAGAAAACACACAGUUGGAAAAUGUGAUUUAUUUCCUCUCUUGUUAAGGUCUUGUACCUGUUUGAACAUUAAAAGUGGAUCCUUGAACUAAAAAUUGUAACUGAUAAUGUGUACUUUAGUCUUCCACAGUUCUCCUGCCCUACCUGUUUAGGAUGUUAAUUGAAUCUGCAAGUAUCUAACAGUUCAAAUCCUUGACAAAUUUACAUUUCUAGUACCUCUUCCAUUUGUUAACUGCCCAGUUGCAUUCAUUUGAUUUUGUUGUUGGAGUUGAAAGGUUAUUAAAAGAUAUCCUAUUUUACCUCCUAGAACAUUUCACCAGUUUUUAUUAUAAAUAUUUGCACAGAUCAUUGUUUAAGAACGUGUAUCUGUCAUAAUGUGUCCUAUUUUCUUUUUCUUAACACACAUAGUAUAACUUAUACAUCCUAGAAGUGGUUUAUUCUGCUUAAUGUACUUGUCCCUACUUCUUUUGCAGUUGGAACUUUUGACAUCAUGGAUGUUGGUCUAAGCUUCCUUGAAGUCGGUUAUUUUUCAGAUUUACCUCAGAAUUUAUCAGCAACACAUUUGUGUUUGAAACUUCAUAUUUCAACUGCCAUUUUCUGUCUAUAUGUAUAUAAAAAGUGUUGUUCUGAAUAAAGAGAGUUCAGCAUAGUUUUGUAUUUUGAAUGUGUACUAUAAUGUAUGACAACUGCAGAGUAAUAGUGGGAAGGUACUCAAAAUCUGCAGUACACAUUUUCCCAAUGCAUUCUUUGCAUUAUUGUAUGCCUCAUUGGUCUUGAUCAUUUGUUGAACAUGAAAUAUCUCAUUUUAUGUUCAUUUGAUUCACUCUAUGCAGAGGAUACACAGAAAGUUAAUAAUCCUCAGAUCAGAAUGUACUGUCUGUAGAAUUUGCCCAAGCAGCAGAGGAACUAAAUUAUUCAUUCGGAUUUAAAUAAAAGCGAUCUGAGGUUGUCUAGGAGCAUGAAAGAGGAGAACAAACAUACUGAUUAUUCUGAUGUGGAAACCUAUAGUUGAUUAGAUGGAAAACCAUGGUAUAAGCAAGAGUACUUGUCAGAGAUGAUUAUGAGGAAAAGAGUUAUGGUUAUGAGAAUUUUAGAUUGUUUCAUUAUGCAAAUUUAACUGAACUAGCUUGGUGUACACUCCAUUGGUAGGUUGUUGUGAUGGUUAUCUAAAUUCCGUGAUAUUGAGGAGUAUAUUGUAAUAAUGGUGAUUAGUGUGAUCAGAAUAUUUGUGUGCUUCUUUAAAUCCACUGUUAUGAAUUCUCUGAUAUACCAGUUCUGAUAAAUUGAAUGUAAAUUAUAUAUAAUAUUGUAUUUUGGCGUCUGUUGCAUUGAUCUAUCACUCUUCACAUUAACUUCCAUCUUUACUGCAACUCUGUUCACAAUCUAUCUUUAAUUUAAAGCAACAUUGAAAUCACAAUCAACUGCACAUGUUUCGGUGUUGCUUGGUCAUCCUCAGGCAACUGUUCACUUUUCAAAACCUUCACGCGAAAAUCCAUUUGUUUGAGAACAUAACUCUUCAUCCUUUCCCUCACCAUCUUUUUUUUUUUUGGCAGCAUCAAUGUUUUUGUGGUGUUUAAUUUAGCCCCAUCAACGUCAGCAUGUUGUUGUUAUCAUUAUUAUUUUUAUGUGCCCCCUUAGUAUGUAUUUUCCCACUGGUUGAGUGUGUGACAUACACUUGAUUAGUGGGAACAUACAUACUAAGGGGGCACAUAAAAAUAGAGAUUGUGAACAGAGUUGCAUUAAAGAUGGAAGUAAAAAUGUUAUUUGCAAAAGAAGUUGUAUAUGUGGUAAAUAAAGAAGAUUUUUCCUGUUA